This 530-nucleotide long non-coding RNA is filed under the name Lactuca sativa (garden lettuce). Its description in RNAcentral is "long non-coding RNA (LSAT_LNC006073)". Lineage: Eukaryota; Viridiplantae; Streptophyta; Magnoliopsida; Asterales; Asteraceae. The record is from RNAcentral.
AAGCAAAUUUAAACUUAAUUCUUAAUUACUAACACCACACAGAACAAUCCGACUCUAGUUCAGCCAUUAUGCCAAGACCUCAACGCAUGCUUUUGUGUCUAAAAUUUUCCUAAAGUACCCCCCAUACUUUAAAUACUCACAAUCUUCAUAAACACUCGCCCACUUUUUCCGAACAAUGCUCAUUUUAUGCAACCCUCCGAAUCCAUCCGCAGAAAACCUCCUUAUCCUCAAGGUAUUUUUAGUUGAGCAACCUAAGCAUACAUAAUCUAGAAUUACAAUUAUCGAUACCACUAUGGAGCUCUUUUGGAAUUCUUCAUUUCUUUGACAUUUGAUCUCUUUGAAUUCACCACCUUAUUUGAUUUAAUUUCUGGUAUCUUCAACUUUUGAAUUUCUUGGAAUUUUGAUCUUUUGAUCUUCACUUUAUUUGCUCCAAAAUUCUUCACACUUUACUCGUAAUUCUUUUUUUUUUAACAUGUACCUCACUUUUUUCACUCAAAACCUACAUGCUUAAGCAGAGGCGCUCAACCUCA